UACGUAGGGUGCAAGCGUUGUCCGGAAUUAUUGGGCGUAAAGAGCUCGUAGGCGGUCUGUCGCGUCGGCUGUGAAAACCUGGGGCUCAACCCCGGGCCUGCAGCCGAUACGGGCAGACUAGAAUUCGGUAGGGGAGACUGGAAUUCCUGGUGUAGCGGUGAAAUGCGCAGAUAUCAGGAGGAACACCGGUGGUGUAGACGGCUUUCUGGACCGUAACUGACGCUGAGACACGAAAGCGUGGGUAGCAAACAGG
RNAcentral lists this ribosomal RNA (253 nucleotides) under uncultured bacterium. Its description in RNAcentral is "partial 16S ribosomal RNA". It matches the Rfam family "Bacterial small subunit ribosomal RNA", at positions 524 to 776 of the family's 1533-position model. The record is from RNAcentral.